UUUAUCUGGCUCUAAGGGGAAUUGUGCUUGGGGGCAGUGGACCCUGGGGAAGAAAAUUGUCAUAGACGGCACUCUGGUCAAUUGGAGCUGUCAUGCUGGCAGAAAGAGUGGUGGCAACUGCUGAAGUAUUAGUGGUGGCAGCUAUAUUGAAUAUAUUCAACCAAGCAGACGUCUACAACUUGACACAAUGAAGAUACUACACUGGGAAGAAACUACUCAAGCUAAAGCUGCUGCACAGAUAAGUUAGAACACGUUGAAGUUGAUAUACUAAGCAUGGCAGGCAGUUAUAUUCAAUUAUAUUCUGAUACAAAGUUUGUUAUUUACUGAUUAUGUUAUUACACUAAAGCAAUGCUAUAAAUACUGUAUCAAUUAAUUCAAUGAAUAAGAAGAAUUCAGUUUACAUUUUAAUAUUCAAUAUGGUAUCAGAGCUUAUUCUCUGAUUUUUUUUUCCCGCAAUUUCAAGUUUCUUCAUCUUCUUCUUUUUUCUUUUCUGCAUUCUUUCUCCUUAUUUUUCUAGCAAUGGUUGGAACUACCUGAGAAAUGGAUCCUUCCAAUCCUUUCUUUCUGUAUCAUGGUGACAGUCCUGGAGCCAUGAUCGUUUCAAAGCAACUCAAUGGUGAAAAUUACAACUCAUGAAAGAUGGCAAUGAUGAUGGCUUUAUCAGCCAAGAACAAACUCAAUUUUGUCAAUGGUACUUUGCCUAAACCAUCCAAUAUGUCUGACACUCAAGGAUUGGCAUGGACUCGCUGCAACAACAUGGUUCUCUUGUGGUUGUUGAAUUCUGUUUCAACAGAGAUUGCCAACAACAUCAUCUACAUUGAUGAUGCAUCUGACAUAUGGAAUGAUCUUCAGGAAAGGUUCUCUCAACAUAAUGGACCAUGCAUUUUCCAGCUUCAGAAAUCAAUCUCAUAUCUGUCACAGGACAAUAAUUCUGUAAGUACAUAUUUUACUGCUAUGAAAGGAUUAUGGGAUGAGUUAGGAAAUCAUCAACCAAUUCCCACAUGCACAUGUGGAGCAUUGAAGACUAUUCUAUCUUAUCAUCAUCAGCAGCAUGUUUAUCAAUUCCUCAUGGGAUUGAACGAGAAUUUUUCACAUAUUCGAGGACAAAUUUUGCUGAUUGAUCCACUGCCAUCCAUCAACAAAGUUUUCUCACUUAUUGUUCAAGAGGAGAGGCAACGUAUGAUUUCCUUUUCUAGCACUUCUUUCAAUCCAAACACCACUGCCUUACUUACUAAGACAAUACCUCCAACUCGUUUUACUGGAAACCGAUCUUUUUAUCCCCGCAAAGAUCGAUCUAUAUGCUCUCAUUGUAAUGUUCCUGGUCAUACUGUCGAAAAGUGCUACAGACUUCAUGGAUUUCCACCUGGCUAAAUUUACCAAAGGAAAGAAUGCACCUCACAGUGUAAAUCAGGUUUCUGAAACCACUGCCCCUCAGCUGCCUAUUACCUAUGCACAAUGUCAGCAACUUAUGGAGAUGUUCAAACCAUCUAUCUCAGAACUUGAAUCUUCUGUCAAUCAAGUUUCCUCAUCUGCCAAUCAAGAAUCAGAAAUUCUUACUCAAGGUGAUACUUCACUCACUAUGAACCGUGCAGGUAUUAUUUCCAAUAUAUCUCAACUCUCUACUCUAGAUCCAAAACAUUCUGUUUUUGCAUCUGCCUUGUCGAUCACUCAUUCAACUCUUCUAAAAAAUUCUAUCAAAGCACCUUGGAUAAUUGAUACUGGAGCUACAGAUCAUAUGAUAUGUUCCACAUCAUUUUUCACACGGAUCAUUUCUGCUGUUUCUAAAAUAGUAAGAUUGCCUAAUGGAGAACAUGCUUCAGUUACUCACAUCGGUACCAUUAAGAUUUCAGACUCUUUUAUCUUAAAAGAUGUGCUUUGUAUUCCUUCUUUUUCUUUCAAUUUGAUAUCUGUCAGCAAGCUGAUUCAAACCUUUCAAUGCUGUGUCAUUUUCUUACCUAAAUUCUAUUUUAUUCAGAACAUUACAAGCUGGAGAACGAUUGGUGUGGGUAAAGAAGCUGGAGGUUUAUAUCAUUUGCUGCAAAUUCCAGUUUCUGCUUUAUCUAGAACUUCUCUGUUUUCCAAUCCUGUUCCAUCCAUAUCUCAGCCUACAAUCACUGAUCUAGCUCCUGCUAGUUUCUUUGUUCAUUCUGUAAACAAUAGUCUAUGGCAUUACAGGUUAGGCCACCCUUCAGAUUCUCCCUUGAAAUUACUUUCUCAUGUAAUCCCUCAAGUGUUACAUGAAUCUAAUAAAACUUGUAGCAUUUGCCCAUUGGCUAAACAACACCGCUUAUCCUUUCCUCACAGCCUUACAAAUUCUGCACAACCGUUUGAUCUUAUUCACUGUGAUCUUUGGGGUCCCUUUUCCACUAAGUCUAUUAGUGGUUCUUCAUAUUUUCUAACCAUUGUAGAUGAUCAUAGCAGAUUCACAUGGAUUCAUCUUUUGGACAAUAAGUCUCAAACCAGCACUCAUAUUCAAUCCUUUUUUACUAUGGUUGAGACACAAUUCAAUGCCAAAAUCAAGUCCCUCCGAUCAGAUAAUGGUGUUGAAUUCCACAUGAGUCAAUUAUAUGCAUCAAAAGGUGUCAUCCAUCAACUGAGUUGUGUUGAAACACCUCAACAAAACUCCAUUGUUGAACACAAACACCAACACAUUUUGAAUAUUGCCCGAUCCCUUCGUUUCCAAUCUCAUUUACCCUUACCAUUUUGGGGAGAUUGUGUGCUCACUGCAGUCCAUUUACUCAACAGAAUUCCCACUCCUGUCUUACACAACAAAUCCCCUUAUGAAACUUUAUUUCAUUCUUGUCCAUCCUAUUCUCAUUUGAAAGUGUUUGGUUGCCUCUGCUAUGCCACUACUUUACUUAAGCAUAGACAUAAAUUUGAUCCUAGAGCUAAACCUUGUAUAUUUCUUGGCUAUCCUUCUCACAUCAAGGGAUACAAACUCUAUGAUUUACAUCAACAUACUGUUUUUGUCUCCCGCAAUGUCAUUUUCCAUGAAGCUAUCUUUCCUUUUGCCCUCAAACAUCCUAUUGAUUCUGUUCUUCCCUUACCCCCCCUGCAUGAAUCAGUAGCUCCUUUUAUUGAUCCCAUGACUUCCACUUCUUCUCCUUUUCAAACUGUUACUCCCUCACCCUCCACUUCUGACGUACUUUCCCCUCCUCUGCAUUCUGACUUACCAUCACUUCUAGCAUCCCCUUCUGAGAUCAUUUCUCAGCCAUGCAGGAGGUCUUCUAGGAUAAAACACAAACCUGGAUAUUUGCAUGACUAUCAUUGUCAUAUUACCACCUCAUCUUCAGCACCUGCACCUUCUUCUUCAGCUUCAGGUAUUCCUUAUACUCUUUCAUUCAUCCUUUCAUAUUCUCAUCUCUCUCCUGCUCAGAAAUGUUUUAGCCUUUCUGUCUCUGCUCUUAUUGAGCCUACUUCCUAUACUCAAGCUAUACGUUGUAAGGAAUGGUGUGAGGCUAUGGAUACUGAAAUCAAAGCUCUUGAAUUGAAUAACACCUGGACUGUUGUUGAUCUUCCUGCCUCUAAACACACUAUUGGAUGCAAAUGGGUUUAUAAAGUCAAGUUGAAGUCUGAUGGCACUUUGGAGAGGUAUAAAGCUAGGCUUGUUGCAAAGGCGUAUAAUUAGUGUGAGGGAUUGGACUAUUAUGAUACUUUUUCUCCUAUGGCUAAGCUCACCACUAUCAGAACUCUUUUAGCAGUUGCUGCUGUGAAACAGUGGCAUCUCCAUCAAUUGGACGUGAAUAAUGCCUUUCUUUAUGGUGAUUUAGAUGAAGAAGUCUACAUGACAUUACCACCUGGUUUUUCUAAAGAGGGGGAGUCCAAGGUUUGCAGAUUACAUAAAUCAAUCUAUGGUUUAAAGCAAUCUUCGCGGCAAUGGUUUGCAAAAUUUUCUUUUACCUUACUUGAAUUUGGUUUCGUGCAGUCCAAGGUUGAUUACACUUUGUUCACUCGAUAUUUGAUAGAUUCAUUCAUUGAUAUCUUAGUCUAUGUUGAUGAUAUAGUUGUUGCCAGUGAUAAUUCAGCUGCUGUUUCCAUAUUCAUUCACAUGCUUAACAACAGAUUUCAGCUUAAAGAUCUUGGCCAGUUGAAGUAUUUUCUUGGUUUGGAAAUAGCUCGCAGUGAGCUUGGGAUUUAUGUUUGUCAGUAAAAGUAUGCCUUGGACAUACUUGAGACUACUGGUUUGUUGGCUUCCAAACCGGCCAAAGUUCCUAUGGAUCCUAAUGUGAAAUUCUCUAAAGAUUCUGGCUAACUCUUAGCCGAUCCUACUUCCUACAGACGCCUUGUUGGAAGAUUACUCUAUCUCACUCUCAGUAGACCUUAUAUUUCUUUUGUUGUUCAGGUUUUAAGUCAGUUUAUGGACAAGCCACGGGCUCCUCAUCUAGAUGCAACCACUCAAGUUCUACGAUAUAUUAAAACCUCUCCAGCUCAGGGCAUUUUAUUUCCAGUCAUUUCUAGCCUACAAUUGAAAGCAUUUUGUGAUUCAGACUGGGCUGGUUGCUUGGAUUCUCGCCGCUCAGUCACAGGCUAUUGUGUCUUUUUGGAUAAUUCUUUGAUUUCGUGGAAAUCUAAGAAACAAACCACAAUCUCUCGUUCUUCUGCUGAAGCUGAGUACAGAGCCAUGGCUUCCACCUGCUGUGAAAUUGUGUGGCUUCGAAACCUUCUCACUGACCUGCACAUUCCACUAAAACCUGCUCUCCUCUAUUGUGAUAGUAAAGCUGCUCUUCACAUUGCUGCCAAUCUUGUUUUCCAUGAGAGUACCAAACACAUUGACAUUGAUUGUCAUGUGGUUCGUGAGAAAAUUCAAUCCGGUGUUCUUCGCACUUUUCACGUUUCUUCUCAAUACCAGUUGGCUGACAUUUUUACAAAAGCUCUCGAUUCCUCUCAUUUUCAUCCCUUAUUAUCCAAGAUGAGUGUUCAUAACAUUUAUUCUCCCUGACAUGUUCAUGACUCUCAUCUUGAGGGGGGUGUAUUGAAUAUAUUCAGCCAAGCAAACAUCUACAGCUUGAUACAAUGAAGAUACUACACUGGGAAGAAACUACUCAAGCUAAAGCUGCUGCACUGAUAAGUUAGAACACGUUGAAGCUGAUAUACUAAGCAUGGUAGGCAGUUAUAUUCAGUUAUAUUCUGUAACAAAGUUUGUUAUUUAUAACUGAUUCUGUUGUUACACUAAAGCAAUGCUAUAAAUACUGUAUCAAUUAAUUCAAUGAACAAGAAGAAUUCAGUUUACAUUUUAAUAUUCAAUAAGCUACCGUAUCAAUCGGCGUUCACAGGCCAUGGUAUAUAACUCUGACCGAUAACAUGUGAUGUAUUCGUGCUGUGUAAAAGAGGUGAAUAAAUAAUUCAUGCACGCCUGUACAGGGAAUUCUGUGUAAGUAAAGCUUGUGAUUAAUUGCAGUUGUAGAUGGGAUAACGUGGGGGUGUGAUGUGAGAAUUCUUCUCGUGUAAUGGAACAAGAAGAUGCUGUAAAUAUUAUUAUUUAAGAUAACAUCAAAGCUUCUGCUUGUUUA
RNAcentral lists this long non-coding RNA (5510 nucleotides) under Populus tremula. Its description in RNAcentral is "long non-coding RNA (PTRE_LNC002271)". The record is from RNAcentral. Lineage: Eukaryota; Viridiplantae; Streptophyta; Magnoliopsida; Malpighiales; Salicaceae.